ACGCCAAUUUGCCUCUACUCUGGGGCUUUUGUCUGGGAGCUCCAAAAACUGUUGGGUAGCAUAAAAUCAGGGCUUAAGUCGUGUAGUGUGAACUAGGCAUAACGUAAAAACAUGAAAGUCUCUCUCUAGAGCCAGUGUUUGGUUUUUCCGUUCCGGGCUACGGUAGAAACAUUGGGGAGCAACAUGGUGGACUCCGUGAAGAGAGACCCGCUCCCUAUGUAGAUACAAACGGCACAUUGUUACGGUAACAAAAACAUAACGAUUGUUAUUUUCAUGUGAUUAUACACUAAAGAAAACAUAUUCAUUAAUAUUAAAUUUCAUUUCUGUCAUAGAUCCCACUAAAUGCUACACACUGUUCCUUUAAAUAGUCAGAACCUAACCAAAAGCAGGACGCAAACCUGCAAACUUGUCUGUCAAAAUCCUGUAUGCCCAUCAUUCAUCUUUACCACCACCUGACAACUUUUGUACAGUAUCAGUAAACUUCAUGAAUAUGAAAAAGUUGCAGCCAUUACAUUACCUUCAACAUGUAUUUGGAAAAACUAAUUAGUAGUAUAUGAAAGUAAGUUCGUGCUAUACAUUUGGAUGGAAACUUGACUAAUGACUGUGUUAAAGAUUUGCUUUCAAUUUCUGGAUUUUGAAGAUCACAAGCAAAAAAAAUGUAAGGCUGCAAGGAUAAUUAUUACUUACAGUGAGGUUUUAGAUUUGUAACUUUUUUUAAUAGCAUUUAGGUUCACUCUCUGUGAGAUCAAAUAAACGGUGCUGGAAGUGUCCCAGCGGGGCUUGAACAUCAGAAUGAACUUCAUGCCUGUGCAUCGGGAAGUAUCUCGUUACCCAUCUUAAGCCAUUAAUCUGUCCAGUGCAUCAGUCUAAUAGCAAGCUGGCCUUAAGUGAACAACAGAGUGUGGGUGACAUCGGCUAGCAGGAAGAUGAGCUGUCAGUCAGGUGAUUGACAGACUUGUAGGGGACUCGCAGCCGCCGAAAGCUAAAAGGGAAACAGCCGAUUGCUCACCGAGAAGAGAGAGGAGGGAGUCAACAGCCUCGCCAGCCAUCCCGCCUAAUGAUGGCGGCCCACAAACCCACAUACCGGGAUAGAUCAGCCCCGCGUCGUGUCAGCGCAGCAUUAUUAAUGACACACACUUAAAACCUUAUUACAGCCUCGGCUUGCGGGUUCGCCUGGCGGCUCCAAGGUUGAGCCUGGCGGGGAUUGGCCAGGUAAUGAAUAAAUGACACGCUUAACCAUUCCACCAAAAUAAUAUUGCGCUACAUUAAUACGAGCAAGGAAAGGAGGGAGUUUAUAAAAGUGAAAGAGCAGCACAGUCUGUACAAUCACAGUUUCCAUAUGGAGAACACUAGCAGCCACGUUACAAUAACGGCUGUCAGACAGCAGCAAUGAUCAGGUGAGAUUAUGAGCUAAAGUGGUAAUGUUAUUCCUCAUGGCCAAGUUUUAUAUUCAAAGGAACUAGAAUAGAUAUAUGAAGUAUGAUAUGGCUAUAAUACCAGCCAUUAAUCUUCAUAAUGGUUCCGCAGAAAAUGGACGAGUAAUUCUAUCAGCUGUCCAACGAGAGGGUCAGCCAAAGCCAGGGGUGUUCCAUUAAUAUUAUCCCUUUUCAUACCUUGUUUUAUAUAGCUGCACUAGUCAAUAUUUUAUAUUAACAAUACAUUAAAAGUGUAAAGUGAAAAGGGGUCGCCCGUAAUGGUGAUCCCACAGAGAAUUAUCAAAGUUCCUUCUUUUAUAUCUUAUCGUAAUGCCUUUUAAUAUCUUAUGUAAAGCACAAUUGACCUGUUGAAAGGUGCUGUACAAAUAAACCUGCCUUUCAUUGCCUU
Long non-coding RNA from Sebastes umbrosus (honeycomb rockfish), 1824 nucleotides. RefSeq lists it as uncharacterized. The record is from RefSeq and is a predicted model, not a curated record. NCBI's taxonomy places the organism in Eukaryota, Metazoa, Chordata, Actinopteri, Perciformes, Sebastidae. The transcript is spliced from 2 exons.